RNAcentral lists this ribosomal RNA (253 nucleotides) under uncultured bacterium. RNAcentral's name for it is "partial 16S ribosomal RNA". It matches the Rfam family "Bacterial small subunit ribosomal RNA", at positions 524 to 776 of the family's 1533-position model. The record is from RNAcentral.
GACGAACCGUCCAAACGUUAUUCGGAAUUACUGGGCUUAAAGGGUGCGUAGGCGGCGCGGAAAGUUGGGUGUGAAAUCCCUCGGCUCAACCGAGGAACUGCGCCCAAUACUACCGUGCUUGAGGGAGAUAGAGGUGAGCGGAACUUAGGGUGGAGCGGUGAAAUGCGUUGAUAUCCUAAGGAACACCGGUGGCGAAAGCGGCUCACUGGAUCUCUUCUGACGCUGAGGCACGAAAGUUAGGGUAGCGAACGGG